Molecule: non-coding RNA, 73 nt
Organism: Hippocampus comes (tiger tail seahorse)
Lineage: Eukaryota; Metazoa; Chordata; Actinopteri; Syngnathiformes; Syngnathidae
Source: the annotation of a RefSeq genome assembly
GGCCUCAUAGCUCAGUGAUUAGAGCACUAGUCUUGUAAACUCGGGGUAGUGAGUUCAACUCUCACUGAGGCCU